Notolabrus celidotus (New Zealand spotty) is the source of this 218-nucleotide long non-coding RNA. RefSeq lists it as uncharacterized. The record is from RefSeq and is a predicted model, not a curated record. The transcript has 4 exons. Lineage: Eukaryota; Metazoa; Chordata; Actinopteri; Labriformes; Labridae.
GACUGCUGCAGCAGGUGCGGCCCCUGUCCCCCAUGGGUGUGCUUUUCAUUGGUGUGGACUUCACAGGCAUGCUUCACAUUUGUUUGCCUUUCCCUGAUGUGGAGUUUACAUGUGUUCUUUUUCUUUCAUUAGCACCAAGGUCCAUGCAGCCUUCUGUCUCAGCAUAUGUGCCACUUUGAUGAGGAGCUCUUUAUUUUACAGGGAUAUAUGGUCUUACU